GGAAGUCGUUGUAAUGAAAUAGACGGACGAGAACUUGUUCGAAGUGGCGGACUGGUGAGUAACGCGUAAGGAACCUGCCUUCUAGAGGGGAAUAACAAUGAGAAAUCAUUGCUAAUACCGCAUACUAGAAGAUGGCCUUGCGUCUGAUUAGAUAGUUGGUGGGGUAACGGCCUACCAAGUCGACGAUCAGUAGCCGGACUGAAGGUUGAACGGCCACAUUGGGACUGAGAUACGGCCCAGACUCCUACGGGAGGCAGCAGUCGGGAAUAUUGCGCAAUGGAGGAAACUCUGACGCAGUGACGCCGCGUAUAGGAAGAAGGUUUUCGGAUUGUAAACUAUUGCGUUAGGGAAGCAGUACCUAAGGAGGAAGCUCCGGCUAACUACGUGCCAGCAGCCGCGGUAAUACGUAGGGAGCGAGCGUUAUCCGGAAUUAUUGGGUGUAAAGGGUGUGUAGACGGGAAGAUAAGUUAGUUGUGAAAUCCCUCGGCUUAACUGAGGAACUGCAACUAAGACUGUUUUUCUUGAGUGCAGGAGAGGUAAGUGGAAUUCCUAGUGUAGCGGUGAAAUGCGUAGAUAUUAGGAGGAACACCAGUGGCGAAG
Molecule: ribosomal RNA, 600 nt
Filed under: uncultured bacterium
Lineage: Bacteria
Description: bacterial SSU rRNA
Rfam family: Bacterial small subunit ribosomal RNA
Source: RNAcentral